This 163-nucleotide ribosomal RNA is filed under the name uncultured eukaryote. Its description in RNAcentral is "partial 18S ribosomal RNA". It matches the Rfam family "Eukaryotic small subunit ribosomal RNA", at positions 1487 to 1650 of the family's 1831-position model. The record is from RNAcentral.
CUGCACGUGCGCUACAAUGACUGAGUCAGCGAGCUUUAUCCUUCUCCGUCGGGAGUGGGUAAUCUUAUGAAACUCAGUCGUGAUAGGGAUUGAUCCUUGCAAUUAUGGAUCAUGAACGAGGAAUUCCUAGUAAGGACAAGUCAUCACCUUGUGCUGAUUACGU